UGAGAGAGUGGGAGAAGUUGAUUCUCCAAGGUGACUUCCAGCUUUAAAUAUUUCUGCAUACAGGUCCGUUUAUUAAAAUGGGCCAUUGUGAACACUCUCGUGAAAGAGAAUAGCCUGAUAUGAAUUAUAUAAAGAGAAAUGAGAAAAAUAGAAAAGAUGAAUAAAGGAUCAAUGCACUGAUUCAAAUAAUGAAAAGUAAGUACCACUGAAAGGGGCUUUAAUAUAAAGGAGAGAAUGCCAAAGGUAAUUUAUGGUUUUUGUAUGCAUGAACUGACAUUCACAUGUACUAUUGAUAUAGGUAUGCAGAUGUAGAAAUCUUUAUCUUUUCUUUUUAUUACAGUCAGAGUGACUCUACACACUUCCUGCUUCCACGUUUAGCAUCCCCAAGUGAAGAGAUAUGAAGAGUGUUCAAAAGAUGCUACAAAAUGUUUAGUUUUCAACUCUCCAGAGGAAGCUGACAUGGCAACACUCUGUUAUUUGAAGAUUUGAGUUUUCCUACUACAAGGUGACAUCUCCCAGAAGCCAUCUCUAACCCUAUUGAUGUAAGUGAGAAUCCUUCCUGGGUACCUGCGGAUCCUGCAGCCCCCUUCAUAACAUGACACUGAUGGUGCCGCUCUGAACUUGGUCCUCUUCAAGAGCCUGGGAUGUCCCAGAGCAGGAAGCACGCGAGAACAUUUGUUUGUUACAUUUAGCUCACCAAAUGGUUUCAUUCAUGCUAAAGGAACUCAGUUUUGUUGUUGGUGUUGCUGUUGUUGUUGUUUGGCAUUUCUUUAAGAUAAGGGAAACUUAGGGAUAAAGAUUGAGUCAGAAAAGUGUUUCUAUUUUCCAAAUUAUAAACAUAUUUACUUAUUCACUCAAGAAAUGAGCACUGAUUUUGCAGGUCACUAUAUUGCCAGAUUGCUGUAUAUAUUUAAAUUGUGGCAGAAAAAUAUGACCAAAAAAUUCCUGAAAUUCAAGUUAUUACUUGAAAUGCAUAUUUAGAGAAAAUCUGAAAAGGCCAAUGUUUAGAAAGAAAUCUACCUAAAAGAAUGGGUUCAAAUGGGGUUAAAACAAAAGCCAGCAUAACUCCCAGAAAAACAUAUGAGUGGUAAAGUUGCCAUUUUUAUUAAAUUUCUUCACUAAUGUAUUGACUAUUAGACGGUAAAAUUUUAAAAAACCAAGAAUUUAAAAAUAUAUAAAUUUUGGAACUUUGAAUUUAUAUUACAUUUUAAAACAGUUCUGGAAUGCAGUUUUUCCUAACUUUGGCUUUGUAUCAAUUUCAAAAUCACCAGUAGUGUUUAUUUGUUUACUGAUACCUGCAGUUCAAACUCUAUAACCACAAUUCUUCAGAAACAAAAUUGCUUCAUAUGGCCCUUCUGAUCAUGGCAUAACAUUGAAAUGCACUUACAGCUCCAAAGACAUAAAAACAUUUCCCCUGUUAUCUCACUUUUCCACCGAGUUCCUCCCUGGCUUACAUAGCUGGCAUUGCAACUGCGUUUUUAUUAAUUUCAGACACAGAAGAACUCAGCAGCCUUCUCUGAUGGGCACAUAUUCUUAAGAAGCCCUGACAGCUGUUGUUUGUAAUAAGAGGCUAGAACCUCUAUGUUUGACUUAUUCUUCCUUUUUAGGUGUCUCUUGCUAGAAUUGUCCAACAGAAUAAUGGAUAUCUAUGGCGAAGUUCCCCCUCAUUUACAUUUUAAGGUAGCAGUGCCAAUUCAUAAACAAUGUUUUUGUGAUAUCAGAUGUGUACAAAAAAAUUAAAGAACAAAUUUGAAGCAAAAUAAAAUCAGUAUUUUUAUGUAAGGUAGCUUUUAAAUUACAAAUUUUAAAAUAAGAUUAUCUCAGUAACUCUAAACAAACAUCUUAAGCUAUUAUAUUUGCAGUUACCUAUAAUUUUAUUCUAAAUAUAUUUAUGAACAUACAUAUUUAGUUAAAAAAAUCUUUCUUCUAGCUGAUUCAACACUUUGGAACAUCUCCCGAGUUUCCCUCAAUACAGCAUGCAUAUAUAAAUUACGUAUAUACAUGCUGUAUUUUUUUAAGGUUUUAGUCUUUUAUUUCAUAACAAUAACUGUGAGGUAAGCAGGUAGCUACAUUUGCGCAUUCCAGCUUAGGUAGCUUCUCAAAUUUCCAGAAGUUAUCUAGGUAUUCAAGUUAAACUCAGCUGAAUGCAAAUGGGCUUCCCUUAUGCUGCAGUUUUAUAGCUUUUUAUCAGUUUGUAGAUAUUGACAGCUUUCUAUCAGUUUGCAAAGUAACUAAAUGGAUUGACUGAAUAAUUUGCUGAAAAAUGAAAGAAUGAAGUUUGAGUUAGCAUAUUAUAAGAAUAUUUAUGUAGGAAAUCUUUUCACAUAUCAAAAAAAAAGUAGACUUGUAAGCCCUCUAAAUAUUUUUCUCAGAUACUAUACAGAUCUUGAAAGUUUUCCACGUUUGCGUAAAUGAUCCAAAAUGAGGUUAAGCAUAGUGUGGUUUCCUUUAUUUCAAAUUACAGCUGCAAGUAAUAAAACUCAAUCACCAUAAACAAUAAUGCAUAGUUUUUUUUUUUUCUCUUCAGAAAGAGUUUUGCUU
RNAcentral lists this long non-coding RNA (2541 nucleotides) under Homo sapiens (human). Its description in RNAcentral is "HSALNT0369375". Lineage: Eukaryota; Metazoa; Chordata; Mammalia; Primates; Hominidae. The record is from RNAcentral.